GAAUUAAGGGCAUAAUUCAGGUACCCUUGAGUUGAAUUUAAUCACGCUCUGCUUUUGCUAUUUAAUUACAAGGAUUCGGCUGAUUGAAAGUUGUUAAAUUUGAUAAAUAAUAACCAUAUUGCUCUAAUGGUUUAGGAGUCCAUAAUUUUGUAUCUUUAUCUUGCCACUGAAGCCAUGCAAGAUUUUUUUUUUGGUAAGGCUAUGUGAGUAACACAUUUGUGUCCUCAAGUAUUAAUAUGGUGAUAAUUUCAUUAUGUUGACAAUUGUUUGAGGAUGAAUCACUUGGAUAAUGCUUAUGAUUCAUAAUUUUGUUUAUCUAGAUCCUUUUGCUAUAUUUUAAUGUUUACUUCCUGGAAUUCUACGCUCUGCUCAGCAAAGUAGUAUAUCUUCCAUGCUUGAGAUGAACACAUUACGAAGGCCCCUUUAAGCAUAAUGAUAAUGAUUCAGGAUAACUUCUCCCCAUUUUACAUAUUUGGAUAUUUGUAAUUUUAUUCUUUGAUUUUGAUACGAGAAUGAGUUAAAACUUAAAAUGUAUGUGUUCCUUUUGCUGUUGGCAGGCAAUUAUUUUUCUCUCUGAUGUCUUAUGGUCAUUAAUGUUGAGGAAAACAACAUAAGUGUGAUUCUUAACCUUU
This 632-nucleotide unclassified non-coding RNA is filed under the name Hevea brasiliensis (rubber tree). The record is from RNAcentral. Lineage: Eukaryota; Viridiplantae; Streptophyta; Magnoliopsida; Malpighiales; Euphorbiaceae.